Molecule: ribosomal RNA, 253 nt
Filed under: uncultured bacterium
Lineage: Bacteria
Description: partial 16S ribosomal RNA
Rfam family: Bacterial small subunit ribosomal RNA
Source: RNAcentral
UACGAAGGGGGCUAGCGUUGCUCGGAAUCACUGGGCGUAAAGCGCACGUAGGCGGCUUCUUAAGUCAGGGGUGAAAUCCUGGAGUUCAACUCCAGAACUGCCUUUGAUACUGAGGAGCUCGAGUCCGGGAGAGGUGAGUGGAACUCCGAGUGUAGAGGUGAAAUUCGUAGAUAUUCGGAAGAACACCAGUGGCGAAGGCGGCUCACUGGCCCGGUACUGACGCUGAGGUGCGAAAGCGUGGGGAGCAAACAGG